GACGAACGCUGGCGGCGUGCUUAACACAUGCAAGUCGAACGCUGAAGCUCAGCUUUUGUUGGGUGGAUGAGUGGCGAACGGGUGAGUAACACGUGAGUAGCCUGCCCCCUUCUUUGGGAUAACGCCCGGAAACGGGUGCUAAUACUGGAUAUUCACUGGUCUUCGCAUGGGGGUUGGUGGAAAGGGUUUUUCUGGUGGGGGAUGGGCUCGCGGCCUAUCAGCUUGUUGGUGGGGUGAUGGCCUACCAAGGCUUUGACGGGUAGCCGGCCUGAGAGGGUGACCGGUCACAUUGGGACUGAGAUACGGCCCAGACUCCUACGGGAGGCAGCAGUGGGGAAUAUUGCACAAUGGGCGCAAGCAUGAUGCAGCGACGCCGCGUGAGGGAUGGAGGCCUUCGGGUUGUGAACCUCUUUCGCUCAUGGUCAAGCCGCAACAAUGGUUGUGGUGAGGGUAGUGGGUAAAGAAGCGCCGGCUAACUACGUG
RNAcentral lists this ribosomal RNA (483 nucleotides) under uncultured bacterium. Its description in RNAcentral is "partial 16S ribosomal RNA". It matches the Rfam family "Bacterial small subunit ribosomal RNA", at positions 28 to 507 of the family's 1533-position model. The record is from RNAcentral.